GAUGAACGCUGGCGGCGUGCCUAAUACAUGCAAGUCGAGCGAACAGACGAGGAGCUUGCUCCUCUGACGUUAGCGGCGGACGGGUGAGUAACACGUGGAUAACCUACCUAUAAGACUGGGAUAACUUCGGGAAACCGGAGCUAAUACCGGAUAAUAUAUUGAACCGCAUGGUUCAAUAGUGAAAGACGGUUUUGCUGUCACUUAUAGAUGGAUCCGCGCCGCAUUAGCUAGUUGGUAAGGUAACGGCUUACCAAGGCAACGAUGCGUAGCCGACCUGAGAGGGUGAUCGGCGACACUGGAACUGGGACACGGUCCAGACUCCUACGGGAGGCAGCAGUAGGGAAUCUUCCGCAAUGGGCGAAAGCCUGACGGAGCAACGCCGCGUGAGUGAUGAAGGUCUUCGGAUCGUAAAACUCUGUUAUUAGGGAAGAACAAAUGUGUAAGUAACUAUGCACGUCUUGACGGUACCGAAUCAGAAAGCCACGGCUAACUACGUG
RNAcentral lists this ribosomal RNA (497 nucleotides) under uncultured bacterium. Its description in RNAcentral is "partial 16S ribosomal RNA". It matches the Rfam family "Bacterial small subunit ribosomal RNA", at positions 28 to 507 of the family's 1533-position model. The record is from RNAcentral.